RNAcentral lists this ribosomal RNA (253 nucleotides) under uncultured bacterium. RNAcentral's name for it is "partial 16S ribosomal RNA". It matches the Rfam family "Bacterial small subunit ribosomal RNA", at positions 524 to 776 of the family's 1533-position model. The record is from RNAcentral.
UACGUAGGUGGCAAGCGUUGUCCGGAUUCACUGGGCGUAAAGCGCGCGCAGGCGGUCUUCUACGUCUGGGGUGAAAACCCGGGGCUCAACCCCGGGACUGCCUUGGAUACGGGAAGACUUGAGGAUCGGAGAGGCAAGGGGAAUUCCACGUGUAGCGGUGAAAUGCGUAGAGAUGUGGAGGAACACCUGUGGCGAAGGCGCCUUGCUGGCCGAUUUCUGACGCUGAGGCGCGAAAGCUAGGGGAGCAAACGGG